CUUUUUUUAUUUUUUCCCAAAUGUCCCCCGUUUGAAUUGAACCGAAUGAAAAAACAGAAAUUAACCCUUUGUCGGCGGCCCCGAUAAACAGCCGCCGGCAAAGGCGAAUUUUCUUUUAAUUUUUUUUUCCAAAGUCCCCCGUUCAAAUUAAAACGAACGAAAAAAAAUAACUCUUUGCCGGCGGCCCCGAUAAAUAGCCGCCGGCAAAGGUUGCUUUGCGGAAAGCCCAUAUAAUAGUCGUCGGAAAGCGUUUUUUUCCCUUUUUUUUGUUUGUUUGUGAUGUAAAUCAACCAUAUUGUAAACACACAGAGCAAUAUAUAUUGUUGUUUAGAUUGAACCCAAUUUGCAUUUCACUACAAGAAAUAUGCUGAUUUAUGACCCCCAAUUUUCGUCACUAAAUCGUCACUAGUUUCCAUUAAUGACCUUCGUAUAAUGAAAAUCAAAUCGUCAAAAACCGACCGUCACUAACGACACUUUAUGACCUUUUUGGUGAAAUGGUCAUAAAGGGUUAUGACCAAAUUGGAUUGUCAUCAAAUUUAUGACGAAUUUGUUUCGUCACUAACAACCCGUCCUGGACACGUCGGAUCCGACUUGGAAGUCUGACGUGGCAAACUUUGUGACGAUAUCAAAUGGUCAAAAUAUGAAAUCAGCCCAGUCCAUAGGUAUCAUGUUAAUGGGCCUAGCACAACACUUCAUUUGGGCCACGGCCUUUUUACAAUCGAAAAAUCUAUUUCUCUAGAUCUUUUCGUAAUUUUGGAUCUCGGCCAUUGUUUUCCAAUUCCGGUCAAAUAUUAAUUGGGACGCGUCCUUUUUACGGUCGAGUAAACUUUGUUUGUUAUUAAACGUAUUAAAAUUCUUGAUUCUUCUAGCAAAAACAACAGCCCAGUACAAUACUGUUUGGGCCUCUCUAGGUCCAGCUUCUAGCCCAAUACAUGCAUUCAACCAAUAUAUGCAUCCAGUUGAUUCAGCCCAUCGGACAAAGUACACAGAGACAAAGUACAUUAGACAUAGAAUUCGAAUGGCCUUAGCUGAUAUAUAUUACUAGCAUAUCUUGGUAGCAAAACUUGCGAGGAUGGCUGCCUAAGACUGACGCUGUGCUUCUUAAUGAUCGAUCACAACAAAGCAUUUUGGCGCCCUUGCAUGUACAACAUUCGUCCAGCAUGAUGUUGGCAUUAGAGUUAGCUGUAUAAAUUUAUGAAGCAUGAAGCUCAGGUGGACUAAUUGUACAUGUAAACAAAAUCUCAUGUAUACUUACAUGAAAUAAUAAUUGACAGCCAGACAAACAAAAAUGACAAAAAAAACAAUCAAGCCCUCAUGUACAUAAUAUUCUGUGUGCUUGUACAGUAUGUUAUAUCGAACUAAUCAUGUAGAAAUAGAACUGACAUCUUUCUAAUAGUUCAUUGGAUGCAAAUAAUGACAUUCUAUUAUGACAACUCAAGUAAAUUAAUCUGCCUGCUAAAGAGAAUAUAAUAAACAUAAUGACAAUGAUAUCCAACAUUAAUGUAGUUUUCAAAAUUCUGCCCUGUAUCUCCAACAGCAGAGUAUUUCUAAUAUUCACUUCAAAAUGGAAUUAAAUAAGAACUAAUAUAAGAAUAACAGAUGGUGGUGCCUACACCCAGGAGUAUGCGGAGUACAGAGGAUGAUGGUGAGUUAGUGCAAAAUGUUUCCUGAGAGCAUAAACUAAGAUUCUCAUGAUACACAAAGAAGACCAAUAGAAUUCAAAACAGCGAUUGCUAAAGUACCAGACACCUAUGCUAGGAUAAAACACACUAGAAAACAACAAAUUAUUGAAUGCACAUGUUAUUUAAGAGUCCAGCGCACAAAUUGAAAUUGUAGCCAGUACAACUUUUAACACAUAAAAACUGCUCGAUCAAGCAUCUGUUAAAUGCUUCAGGCAUAAGGAUUCUUCUAUAACAAUUUGACAAUAAAGAAGAUAGUUAAGUUACACAGCUUUUAACGCAUCAAAAAUCAAUACAGGUAAUCUGUAAAAUUGCUUGGCUACUUAUGGUAACCAUACACUGAGCCAGUUUCAGGCAUAACGAUUCUUCUAUAACAAUUUACUCCUCUGCAUGAGUAACAAAAAUAAAAAAAAUCAAUAAAUUCUCCUCUGCAUCUCUAGGCAUCUAAACAUUACAAGACACUACUGUGUGACUACUUAUUUCUACCAUACACUGAGCCAUCUUGGAAUGAAAACUUACUAUAAACUGAACCCAAGAAGCUGGUUCAUCCAUAGAUUUCAGCUCAUAGCAUUAAAGCAUGGACAUGUGUUAAUAUAUCGUUACCUUCUACUGUGAGUACUCGGCCGUUCCACCCUUGCAGCAACCAGCCAACCACCCAUUAUCCACAUCGUCCU
Molecule: long non-coding RNA, 2353 nt
Filed under: Brachypodium distachyon (stiff brome)
Lineage: Eukaryota; Viridiplantae; Streptophyta; Magnoliopsida; Poales; Poaceae
Description: long non-coding RNA (BDIS_LNC003485)
Source: RNAcentral